RNAcentral lists this ribosomal RNA (430 nucleotides) under uncultured bacterium. Its description in RNAcentral is "bacterial SSU rRNA". It matches the Rfam family "Bacterial small subunit ribosomal RNA", at positions 354 to 776 of the family's 1533-position model. The record is from RNAcentral.
GUAGGGAAUAUUGCGCAAUGGGCGAAAGCCUGACGCAGCAACGCCGCGUGGGUGACGAAGCUCUUUGGAGUGUAAAACCCUGUCAGCAGGGAAGAACCGGUCGUGGAGGUAAUGCCAUGGCCCUGACGGUACCUGCAGAGGAAGUUCCGGCUAACUCCGUGCCAGCAGCCGCGGUAACACGGGGGGAACGAGCGUUGUUCGGAUUUACUGGGCGUAAAGAGUGCGUAGGCGGGCCAGUCAGUCGGGUGUGAAAACCUACGGCUUAACCGUGGGCUUGCAUUCGAAACUGCUGGUCUUGAGUACGGGAGAGGGAAGUGGAAUUCCUGGUGUAGCGGUGAAAUGCGUAGAUAUCAGGAGGAACACCGGUGGCGAAGGCGGCUUCCUGGACCGAUACUGACGCUGAGGCACGAAGGCCGGGGGAGCAAACAGG